RNAcentral lists this long non-coding RNA (251 nucleotides) under Mytilus galloprovincialis (Mediterranean mussel). The record is from RNAcentral. Lineage: Eukaryota; Metazoa; Mollusca; Bivalvia; Mytilida; Mytilidae.
CGUAAAAAUGUUACACACACAGAAAGGAACUCUGAUAUAACAAUGGCCAUUUUUCUGACUUGGUACAGGACAUUUUUAAAGAAAAAAAAAUGGUAGGUUGAACCUGGUUUUGUGGCAUGCCAAACCUCGAACUUUAAUGGCAAUGUUAAAUAUAACAUUAAAAUGACAACAUAAUAUUACAGGACUACAAUACAAAUAAAUAGGAGAACGUAUUAGGCAAAGAAACACACGAAUAAUAGAUAACAAAAGGC